This 376-nucleotide long non-coding RNA is filed under the name Gossypium barbadense (sea-island cotton). RNAcentral's name for it is "long non-coding RNA (GBAR_LNC012403)". Lineage: Eukaryota; Viridiplantae; Streptophyta; Magnoliopsida; Malvales; Malvaceae. The record is from RNAcentral.
GGAGAGUGAUGAGGGCACCAUGCGUGAACAGCAAAUUAAGAGCCAAUUGAAGAUGCAUGGACAGCAAGAUUCAACAAAUGGGAAAGUGCAUGGAUGUCUAGCUACAUUAAUUUAUGCAAUGAGUCUUUGGCCUCCAAGGUGAUUGUUCGGCCAAGAGACACUUAUUGGCUAGUACAUUCAUGCUAUAGCCGAACCUAGACAAGGCUGAUGGGCUGCCAUUCAUUCAUCUACAUUCAAGAGCUAUGUUUGCUUAAUCAAGAAGGUGUCCAUUGAUGUUCCAUUCAGCCGAAUAUGGACAUGCCUUUAAAGUUCAUCUCUCUAGUUUAAUUUAACUCAUUAAUAGCCACAUCACUUAGUCAUUAAGCUAUGUCCAUUA